This 406-nucleotide ribosomal RNA is filed under the name uncultured bacterium. RNAcentral's name for it is "partial 16S ribosomal RNA". It matches the Rfam family "Bacterial small subunit ribosomal RNA", at positions 30 to 526 of the family's 1533-position model. The record is from RNAcentral.
AUUGAACGCUGGCGGCAAGCCUAACACAUGCAAGUCGAACGAGUGGCGGACGGGUGAGUAAUGCCUGGGAAACUGCCUGAUGGAGGGGGAUAACUACUGGAAACGGUAGCUAAUACCGCAUACCAUCGGAUGUGCCCAGUGGGGAUUAGCUAGUAGGUGGGGUAAAGGCUCACCUAGGCGACGAUCCUUAGCUGGUCUGAGAGGAUGACCAGCCAAACGGGAACUGAGCCACGGUCCAAACUCCUACGGGGGGCAGCGGUGGGGAAUAUUGCACAAUGGGCGCAGGCCUGAUGCAGCCAUGCGGCGUGUAUGAAGAAGGCCUUCGGGUUGUAAAGUACUUUCAGCGGGGAGGCGUUACCCGCAGAAGAAGCACCGGCUAACUCCGUGCCAGCCGCCGCGGUAAUUC